Hibiscus syriacus is the source of this 136-nucleotide long non-coding RNA. RefSeq lists it as uncharacterized. The record is from RefSeq and is a predicted model, not a curated record. NCBI's taxonomy places the organism in Eukaryota, Viridiplantae, Streptophyta, Magnoliopsida, Malvales, Malvaceae. The transcript is spliced from 2 exons.
CACCAAAGCAGUCAAUGGAAAAUAGUCAAAAAGGUCUGUAAAAAUCUUCCAAACGUUAGCAUUGCCAUACCUGCAAAUACUGAAAUCUAGUACAUCAUAUUGAUUAAAAAUACAAUAGCACUUUUUUUCCUAUAUG